CACAAAUUCUUUUUUAAUUUUUUUUUUUUUACUUGCUUCAGUCAUUUUGACUGCGGCCAUGCUGGAGCACUGCCUUUAGUCGAGCAAAUCGACCCCAGGACUUAUUCAUUCCGUCAAUGAAACAAAUACCAGUUGAGCAUUGAUUGUCACUGAAGCUGAAAGAAAAGAUGUAUUCUGCAAAUAUUAAAGAUGGAAUACAUGCCUCUGAAUGUAAAACUGUGCAGAGGAAAGACUGGGUGAAGAGUUUGAAGAAAAAUCUCGGAUGUGAUGCACACAAGAUGCAUGUCCAGAGUAAGAAGAUAAAAAAGGUAAACUGACAUCUGACUCUUCAAAGAAGACUUCAAAAGUAAGUAAUAACAACUUCUGACAAUCGACAAAAUUUGGCAUCAUGGUGUUAUGAAGUACCAACAGGAAAAAGAUUUAACCUCCAAGGACAUUCACGCUGACAUGGUUGCUACAUUUAGGGAUGACACUCUAGCUGUAUCAACAGUGCAAAAGUGGGCAGCUAAAUGUAGGAGGGGAAUGGAGAGUCUGAAAGAUGACCCAAGUCUGGACAUCCUGCAACUGCCACCACUGAGGAAAACAUUGUGUUCACUACAUGCUGGUGGAUGACAUUCAAUUGAUUAUAAAUCAAAUGGCCAAUGCUGUUAGCAUAUCUUCUGAGAGAGUUGAGAAUAUUCUGCACAAGGAAUUUCUGUUCAGUGGUUUCUGUUCAGCAGUGGCUGCCACAUGAUCAAAAGCACAACAAUUCCUAAGCCAGGAUGAGUUUUCAGUUCAUCACUUUGAGCCAGAGACAAAUGGACAAUGCAUGUCAGGGAAAUACCCCCUCUUCACCUGCUCUAAAGAAGGCCAAGGUAGUUCCAUCUGCAGGGAAGGUGAUGGCCUCAGUUUUUGGGAUGCAAAAAGCAUUGUGUUCAUUGACUCUCUUCAAAAGGGCCACACCAUCAAUAGGAGACUACUAAACCAACUUGCUGAGACAGUUAUGAAAAACUAUCAAAACCAAAAGCCCAGGAAAACUGACAAAAGGGGUCUUGAUUCCUUAGAACAACAUUCCAGUAUGCAAGCCCUUCGUUUCAGUGGCUGCCUGUGCAUGUCUGUGGCUUUGAACUGGUUGAUCAGCCUCUCUAUUCCCCUGAUUAGGCUCCAUCUGACUAUCAUCUCUUCCUCAACAUGAAAAAAAAACACUUGGUUGGGAACCAGAAUCACAGUGAUGAUGAUGAUGAUGAUGUCAUAUCUGAUGUUGAUGACUUUCUCGAGCAACAGGAUGAAAGCUUCUUCACCAAUGGAAUCCAAGCACUUCAAAACCAAUGAAGAAGUGUGUGGACUGCAAAGGGAUCUAUGUUGAAAAAUAAACCCCAUUUGGUCAUAUUCCAUGAGAGUAUCUUGGUCAGCCUAUGAACUUUUCAGCUGACCCUCAUAUUACCUAAUCUUUUAUAUCUGACUCUGUUUUAAGCAUUAAUCUAUUGCAUUUCUAUUUCUUUUUAGUCUUUUCUUUCAUUUAUAUGUAUUGUACACUGAUAAGUUCACUGAUUCCUAAAUAUUUGUGAAUUUGUAAUUGGUCAAAUUCUAUUUACUCAGUUUCCUUAUGUAACAUGAUAUUAGUGUUCUUCAUUAAUUUUCCUCUCUUCGUUAGUCACCUUGGCAAUUUUUCUCAGACAAAUCUCAUACUGAUCCCUUUAGCAAAUCUAUGAACUGACUGCAGAAAUGUUAGCACAUUGGGUAAAAUGAUUAGCAGUAUUUUACCUGUUGCUACAUUCUGAAUUCAAAUUCUGCCGAGGUCAACUUUGCCUUUCAUUCUUUGCAGAGGUUUCUCUUCAAUCUAUCUAAUGGGUUCUCUUUGAAUUUCAUUCUUGUCCUUCUCCCCUAUUUCACACUUGAUCACCUCUUCCUUAUUCACUGUCUUCAAUAGUUUCUCUCUGCUGUUCUGUAAAUAUUCUAGUAGGUUUUUUUCUUUCCAUCUGUUCACACUCUUCCACAUCAAUUAAGUUUCUUCCACCCUGUUCUUAGUCUUCUUGAAUCUCCAGAAUCUUUCUUAGGAAUCUUGCAGAAUACAGGAUGGCACUUUUCUGCAGGUUAACAACACAUGUCUCAAUUCCAAAGGCCUUCAGCCCCUUAGGUAGCAGUUUGGUUGUUAUGCUGAGUACGUCAAUUACAAAAGGGACAGUUAUUACUUUCGUCUUUCACAAUCUCAUCUCUCUGAUUUUGUCUGAUUUUUCUCAAUUUCUUUGGCAUCCUCUCUACUAUGGUAUUGCAAAGUCUAUGGCCAUACACCGUUUGUUUUCUCUGUCCUCUAUAAUCAUAUCUUGUCUAUUUGCUCCAAUUGUAAAUCUCUAUGGAGAUGUUCCAUAAACUCCUGUAGUUACUGUUUCACCACAAUGACCUCUGGCUCGUAUUUGUACCAUUUUCCCAUCAUUUUCAAUCCUAAUGUACUCUUUUGCUGGCACCGUCAUACCUAUGUGUCUACUCGAUAUGUGCUAGCUACUCACUUAGGAAAUGGUUAAUAUAUUUGUCCCCUUUUCCACACAUUCUGCAUUUAUUCUCCAAGUCUUAUCAAUCUUGUCUUUAUCAAAUUCAUUCUAAUGGCUUGUUCCUAAAUGCUUUGAUUAGCUUUCAGUCUCCCAUUUCAGGUUUCCAUGUCAGCCAUAACCAAACAGCAUUCUUUACUCACAACUUUCUCAGCUUUUUUGCUUGAAUUAGCCUUGUGAUUCUUUCUUUCCAGCAAUUUUUCUUAUCAUCUUCUUUUUCUCUUCUUGACUACUUUCACUAUUUCAUGGUUCUUGAAACAUGCAUAUCUGUGUUCAUUUCGCUUCACUUUAAACCUAAACCAUAUUUAUAGCAUUACCAAAUGAAAUUUUCUUUGGAGUAUUUGCUAAAAAAGGAUUAUUAUUCUAAGGAAAGCCUGCCUGAGGCAUAAACAAUAAGAAAGAAGCUUUGUUUUUACAGACUUUUUCUUAUUUAUUUAGAUACAUGAC
Octopus bimaculoides (California two-spot octopus) is the source of this 2972-nucleotide long non-coding RNA. RefSeq lists it as uncharacterized. The record is from RefSeq and is a predicted model, not a curated record. Lineage: Eukaryota; Metazoa; Mollusca; Cephalopoda; Octopoda; Octopodidae.